CAGGCUAGUUGCUUCCCUCUCAGAGCACGAGUUGACUCACCAUGCAAUGGAUGGAAAGGCCAGAUUCACUCAUCUCUAAAUUGCCUUCCAGCUUGAAUUAUAAAUUCUGUGGGGAUGGAAAUGGGCUAAGGAAUUGAAUUUGGUUUCCUUGUGGUUAGCAACUUUUUUUUUUAAGUUACCGUUUCUUAAACAUCUCCUAAAGAUUACCAACAACACAUAUGUAAGUUUUUCUAAGCAUUUUACAUAUAUGGAUUCGUUGCCUUCCACAACAAUCCUAGGACAUAGGUACCAUUAGUAUCCCCAUUAUACAGAUUAAGAAACUGAGGUACAGGGAGGCUAAGUAACCAGCCCAGGCAGUGGAGCCGGGGUUCAAACCAGGCAGUCUGGCUGCAAAGUCCCUCUUCCUCACCACCACACUCAACAUUCCAGGCACUGUGCUAACUGUUUACACAAAUCCUCUCCAUUUUGCAGUUGAGAAACCCAAGACUCAGACCAGUUGGGCAACAGCUGAAGGUCACAUAGCUGGGAAGCAGUAGAGAUGAGAUUCAAAGUCGGCAGAGCUCCAGAGUCUCUGCUCUCCCCCACACCCUCCUGCAACCCUGCCAGACGCUCAGGCUUCCAAAGCAAGUUUAACCAAUAUCCCUGCAUUGCCACGCCUCUUCAGGCAAGUCAGCUUCUCCCCGCUGGGCCUCAGUUUCACCAUCUAGAAAAUGACUGGGGGAUUGGCCCAGCUGAUCUUUGAGGUCCCUUGGAGCUCUGUGAGUCUGUGAUGAGAAAGCCCAGUGCAUCUCUCGGAGGAGGGUAAUGUCACGUGCUUGCGAGAUGAGCGAAUGGGUGUCAUUACCAGGCAGCUCCAUUUUCAACGAGGCUCUUUCCACUUGGGGAAAUGGAUGGAAUCACCUAUUGCGUUGGACUGACCUGCUCUCUGGCUUGCAGAAGUCACGGCUCUGGGUGGCACCAAGGCACGAAAUGACACGGACACCUGGCCUGUGUGGGGGCCUUUGUCUGUCCCUCUCUCCCUGCUCCUCCACAGUCAGUAUCCACACUAUGGUUUGAAUGUAUGUAUCUUUCCGACAUUCAUAUGGUUGGAACAUAAACCCCAAGGCAAUGGUAUGAGAAGUUGGGGGGGGCCUUUGGGAGUUGAUUAGGUCAUGAAGGCUCCACCCUUGUGAACGGGAUUAAUGCCCUUAUAGCAAUAAAAGAGCAGGAGGGAACUAGUUAGGCUCAUUGUGAUCUUCCACUCUUCUACCACAUGAGGACACAGUGUUUGUCCCCUCCAGAGGGCAUGGCAAGGCCCCAUCUCGGAAGCAGAGAGAGUCCACACCAGACACUGAAUCUGUUGGCGUCUUGAUCUUGGACUUCCAAUCCUCUAAAACUGUGAGAAAUACAUUUCUAUGGUUUGUAAAUUACUCCAUCGGUGGCAUUUUGUUGUACCAGCAGGAAGGGACUAUGACAUACACCACGGAGGCCACUGCUGCUACAGUGGCUAGCAGAGAGGAUCAUGGGUGGUUCCAGCUCUCAUGCCAGCAAAGGGUCUCAUCCCUGACCCCUAGUCCAGUAUGCUGUGGUCUCCAAGCCCACAGAAAGGCCCUCCCUCCAAACCCCAGCUUUCAGAGUCUAAGGGGCUGACAAAAGGUUAAGGGCUCUAGUUCUGGUCUGAGCUGGGACAGGUGAGCAGGCUACUGUGCAAGAGCUGCUAAAUGCAGAGUCCCCAGGUAUCGAGGUUACCCGGAAAAGUUGGCCUUCCCAAAGCUGCAGUAGGAUCAGCAUGUCCGGUUCAGUGCUGACUGUGCAGGCUUGGGGCCUAUCCCUUGAACUCUGGAAGGGUAUUUGCAAGAUGGACCUCCUGUCCUCAUCUUCCUUCUACCUUUCAGCCUCUUGGUCCUGUGUCACCAGACGGGCUCAGAGCAUUCCUGAGCAACUUUGUGGUUCUGAGCGUCUCUAAGAAACGAGGCCUGGGAGAGGGCAGGGAGGAGGGGAGAGGGGACGGUCAGGUGGGGUGUGGGGGAUUGCAAAACAAAGACACGCUCAUUUGCCAUUUACCAAAGACUUUUUUUUUCUUUUUCUUUUAAAGCUGUUGUUUCCUCAAGGGAAAACUUUAUCUGUGUGUGGGUAAAAUGUUGCUCUCUUAACGAAUCGAAAGCAGAACAUGAGG
This 2155-nucleotide long non-coding RNA is filed under the name Homo sapiens (human). Its description in RNAcentral is "HSALNT0240525". The record is from RNAcentral. Lineage: Eukaryota; Metazoa; Chordata; Mammalia; Primates; Hominidae.